AGAGUUUGAUCAUGGCUCAGAUUGAACGCUGGCGGCAGGCUUAACACAUGCAAGUCGAGCGGUAACAGGAAUAGCUUGCUAUUUGCUGACGAGCGGCGGACGGGUGAGUAAUGCUUGGGAAUAUGCCUUAUGGUGGGGGACAACAGUUGGAAACGACUGCUAAUACCGCAUAAUGUCUACGGACCAAAGGGGGGGAUCUUCGGACCUCUCGCCAUUUGAUUAGCCCAAGUGAGAUUAGCUAGUUGGUAAGGUAAUGGCUUACCAAGGCGACGAUCUCUAGCUGGUUUGAGAGGAUGAUCAGCCACACUGGGACUGAGACACGGCCCAGACUCCUACGGGAGGCAGCAGUGGGGAAUAUUGCACAAUGGGGGAAACCCUGAUGCAGCCAUGCCGCGUGUGUGAAGAAGGCCUUCGGGUUGUAAAGCACUUUCAGUUGUGAGGAAAGGUGUGUAGUUAAUAGCUGCAUACUGUGACGUUAACAACAGAAGAAGCACCGGCUAACUUCGUGCCAGCAGCCGCGGUAAUACGAGGGGUGCAAGCGUUAAUCGGAAUUACUGGGCGUAAAGCGUUCGUAGGCGGUUGAAUAAGCAAGAUGUGAAAGCCCAGGGCUCAACCUUGGAACUGCAUUUUGAACUGUUCGACUAGAGUACUGUAGAGGGGGGUAGAAUUUCA
Molecule: ribosomal RNA, 672 nt
Filed under: uncultured Vibrionaceae bacterium
Lineage: Bacteria; Pseudomonadati; Pseudomonadota; Gammaproteobacteria; Vibrionales; Vibrionaceae
Description: bacterial SSU rRNA
Rfam family: Bacterial small subunit ribosomal RNA
Source: RNAcentral